Molecule: non-coding RNA, 2070 nt
Organism: Labrus bergylta (ballan wrasse)
Lineage: Eukaryota; Metazoa; Chordata; Actinopteri; Labriformes; Labridae
Source: RefSeq, a predicted model, not a curated record
UAAUCAGUUGACCUUUGACCUCUGAUGCACAUGAUCCUUCGAAGCUAAAGUCCAUGCUCUAUUUCAAACUCUCCUCUCUGGUUGUUUGAUUUUUCUUCCAUUUGAACAUUUCGACGUCCAUAUGAACGAGAGGUCAGGAUAGUAUUUAGAGAAAUGCUGUGAAAGCCUCACCUGACCUCACAGCACGUUGAAGGCACGCAGGCCCGCUCAGCCGCGGAUAAUCUGCAGUCAGGAGCCAAAAUGGAACAAAGUCAAGCUCACAGAGCGAAGCAGUUCGACUCAUCUAUAUGUCAGGCUCCAGUUACAUGAGAGCUGAGGAAAUCCGUCAUUUGAGAGGAAUUCACGUUGGGACCAAUGGAUUGCUCCAAGCGUGAGGGAGGUGUUUUUCUGUCUUUUAAUAGCUCAGAAGGAACAGGGAUUCCUAUUCUUGCCAGUGAUGUCUUAGGUCAUGGCACAAGAUACCCAAAACCUUCUGCUGACAUACACACAUCAGACAGCGUCGCCCUCAACCAGCCCUUCUGCAAAAAAGAUGGAUUACAAGGACUUGAGGAACAAAGCUAUUUAAGUUGGAAGCCUCAGUCAUAAUCGGCCCCGCACAGCUGUAGGCAACGCUUUAGACAUUAAUGAGAAUAUGACUGAUCACAUGUGGAGUAAUUGAAAUUGAUUUAUCAUUUGGGAGUUGGAAGUUAAUGGUUACAGGAGUCAUAGAGGUUAUGAGCAAACACCGGUGAGAUUGUGCAUUAUCAUGGAGGCCUUAGGUAGCCCAACAGGCCAACGGAGCAGACCGUGAUCAAUAGUAGUAGAGACGGACGUUAGAGGCCCUGACAGCUGAUUUCAAUCCACCAGAGGAUGGACAAGUGAGAGUGCUGAGGUGUUUGUUGACAUUCUUGUAUUAGACCUACAGGGGAGGUUUGAAUUGAUGGUUAACAUGCUUACUAUGGACAGAACAAUCUCUGUGAAAAGAUGCAUAAUUUGAUGUUGCAUGCCAAAAACUUGAAGAUUUGAGUGAUAAAUACACACAGCCAUCACAUCUGGCUCAUCUGGCUCGGGCUACAAACUCUGACAGGAAGUGGAUUAUAGCGCCGGUUGGCCCCGAUGAGGACAAACCCACAGAGAAUAUCUAUAAUCUGCACAUCCACAGAUCUAAUGGGGAUCAUGGCAGCAGCCUGGAGCAGCACUAAGAGAUCUGAAUGAGGCAGCCAGCUGUUGUAGAGACCCAGCCAGGGAGCCUAGCCCUGCUAAAGACCUGAGUUUAUUGAGCACACUCAUGCACUCAUGGCUCAUGCAGAACUUCUCUGUGCACAGCAUUAAGCUCUCAUGACAGAAUGUCACAGAACACUAUAUGACAACAUUACCUGUGUGCAAACUGUAAUAACAGGCAGCAGUGUUUGAUGUCCGCUUGGAUUGCUGGAGCAUGCAUUUGUGUUUUUAAAGUUGCAGUGUUUUCCUCAGUCCCAGUCUGCUGGCACACCAUCAUAGCACAGCUAAAAUAAACCAUCUGAAAGCUCUGAGGCUUAUAACCCGUCUGUCGCUUACAUAUUAGGUGGGCAGAGGAAGCAUGACUUUUAAGGAUAAUUCCUCUCUAAUAGAACUCAAGCAAAACCUCUAACAUGAACUAUGUUUUAGGUAGAAUGGGAGAUGGAGAGAAAGUGUGAAAUAGCCAAAGAAGGUCAGGUUAGCCAAUCGUAUACUGUGAUUAGCAGAGAAGAUGUUCAGCGUUUUACAUUUGAAUUACAAUGAAAGGACCUCUACAACCCUUUAGGUUGAUUAAAAUUAAGGUUUAAAUUAGUAGCUACAAUAAAAAAGGGAGAUUUGUGAAUUCUGCGAUGUUGCUCUCUACUUUUAAAAGUAAAAGGCUUACAGCUUUCCUUUUUCGUAAAGCUUAUGGUGAUGGCUCAGGCUCAGCUCCUAGUUAUGCUGCUUUAGGCUUAAAACCUUCUUCUUGUCUUAUGUUAAAAUGCUCGUUUUUACAGCAGAAAUAAACAUCUGUACAGCCUGUUUAAAAAUGUAAUACCCAUAGCUCACAAUGCAGCACAAACUGGAAUCUGGUAGAAUAAAGCUAGAGUGUGA